This 545-nucleotide ribosomal RNA is filed under the name Rhodotorula mucilaginosa. Its description in RNAcentral is "eukaryotic LSU rRNA". It matches the Rfam family "Eukaryotic large subunit ribosomal RNA", at positions 96 to 657 of the family's 3401-position model. Lineage: Eukaryota; Fungi; Basidiomycota; Microbotryomycetes; Sporidiobolales; Sporidiobolaceae. The record is from RNAcentral.
AAGCGGGAAGAGCUCAAAUUUAUAAUCUGGCACCUUCGGUGUCCGAGUUGUAAUCUCUAGAAAUGUUUUCCGCGCUGGACCGCACACAAGUCUGUUGGAAUACAGCGGCAUAGUGGUGAGACCCCCGUAUAUGGUGCGGACGCCCAGCGCUUUGUGAUACAUUUUCGAAGAGUCGAGUUGUUUGGGAAUGCAGCUCAAAUUGGGUGGUAAAUUCCAUCUAAAGCUAAAUAUUGGCGAGAGACCGAUAGCGAACAAGUACCGUGAGGGAAAGAUGAAAAGCACUUUGGAAAGAGAGUUAACAGUACGUGAAAUUGUUGGAAGGGAAACGCUUGAAGUCAGACUUGCUUGCCGAGCAAUCGGUUUGCAGGCCAGCAUCAGUUUUCCGGGAUGGAUAAUGGUAGAGAGAAGGUAGCAGUUUCGGCUGUGUUAUAGCUCUCUGCUGGAUACAUCUUGGGGGACUGAGGAACGCAGUGUGCCUUUGGCGGGGGUUUCGACCUCUUCACACUUAGGAUGCUGGUGGAAUGGCUUUAAACGACCCGUCUUGA